AAGUCGUAACAAGGUCUCCGUUGGUGAACCAGCGGAGGGAUCAUUACCGAGUUUACAACUCCCAAAUCCCUGUGAACAUACCAAUUGUUGCCUCGGCGGAUCAGCCCGCUCCCGGUAAAACGGGACGGCCCGCCAGAGGACCCCUAAACUCUGUUUCUAUAUGUAACUUCUGAGUAAAACCAUAAAUAAAUCAAAACUUUCAACAACGGAUCUCUUGGUUCUG
RNAcentral lists this unclassified non-coding RNA (223 nucleotides) under Fusarium denticulatum. RNAcentral describes it as "partial internal transcribed spacer region". The stretch from base 1 to 46 matches the Rfam family "Eukaryotic small subunit ribosomal RNA", at positions 1786 to 1831 of the family's 1831-position model. The record is from RNAcentral. Lineage: Eukaryota; Fungi; Ascomycota; Sordariomycetes; Hypocreales; Nectriaceae.